Molecule: non-coding RNA, 996 nt
Organism: Paramuricea clavata
Lineage: Eukaryota; Metazoa; Cnidaria; Anthozoa; Malacalcyonacea; Plexauridae
Source: the annotation of a GenBank genome assembly
CCCCCUGUAGUAACACUGGAUCAAUAAGAAAUUAUCUUUACCGGACCUUAGGAAGAACAGUUUAGAACUGACAGAGCUAUAUAUCCAGUAUAAAUAAAGUUAGUUUAGUUUCGCGGAUCGCGGUUUCCUCCUGUAGGAACACUGGAUCAAUAAAAGAUAGACCUUUAGAGGGAACAAUUUAGAACUAACAUAUAUAUCCAGUGUAAAUACAUCUUCAAGUUAGUGGUUUAGGUUCCUUCCUAGUCUAGGAAAAAAGGAACGCUCCUUUCUGGAGAUCUAAGAAGAACAGUGAAAGCGGCUUGAUCAAAACUUUAAAACAAUGCUAAAUAUGUUAAAUAUUGCGUGAGCCAUCCCACAUGCGCAAAAUAGAAAUACCAUGAUCGUGACUUGCUUGUGCGCUGAUGUAGGUGUGAACAUUUAAGGAAUUGUUUUUAAAGAAAACUUUGAGCUUUAAUUACCGAUGUCCUGCCGUAUUCUAAACAAUGCUCACAGUGCAGUCACCGAAAAUACACUUUUAAAAUCAUUACGUAAGCUAAAAAGACCACAAUGAACAACGUACUUUAAAUUGUUUAUACUGGAUAGCCGUCUAUCGGUUCUAAACCGUUCUUAGUAGAGGUCAAGUAAAGAUAAUUCAUCUCUUAUUGAUCCAAUAGUACGUGUUACUACAGGAGGAAACAUAAACUAAAGAGUAAACUAAUUUUAUUUAUACGGGAUAGUUCUAUCAGUUCUAAACAGUUCUCCCUAGAGAUCCAGUAAGGACUAAGGGCCUGUUCAUAUGGGCAAAAGUUAUCCCGGUUAACAAGAAAACUUUUCGACUAGCCAAAUACUUUUGUUCUGUUCCGAGAAACUUUAUCCCGCUUACCGGGUAAGGUUUUCGGAUGUGACGUGGCACUGAACAUCAAUUGAAUUGAAAAGUUGCUGACACGACAGAAAGUUAUCUCGCUAAGCGGGAAAGUUGUAUUCAUAUGGGAAAAACAUUAUCCCGGUCACCGAGAU